AGUGAACGCUGGCGGCGUGCCUAAUACAUGCAAGUCGAACGGAGAUUAAGUAACUUGCUAUUUAAUCUUAGUGGCGCACGGGUGAGUAAUAUAUAGCUAACUUGCCCAUUACUAAGGGACAACAGUUGGAAACGACUGCUAAUACCUUAUACUCCGUAUCUAUAUAAGUAGAUACGGGAAAGUUUUUCGGUAAUGGAUAGGGCUAUAUCGUAUCAGCUAGUUGGUAAGGUAAUGGCUUACCAAGGCUAUGACGCGUAACUGGUCUGAGAGGAUGAUCAGUCACACUGGAACUGAGACACGGUCCAGACUCCUACGGGAGGCAGCAGUAGGGAAUAUUGCUCAAUGGGGGAAACCCUGAAGCAGCAACGCCGCGUGGAGGAUGACACUUUUCGGAGCGUAAACUCCUUUUCUUGGGAAAGAAUUAUGACGGUACCCAAGGAAUAAGCACCGGCUAACUCCGUG
This 462-nucleotide ribosomal RNA is filed under the name uncultured bacterium. Its description in RNAcentral is "partial 16S ribosomal RNA". It matches the Rfam family "Bacterial small subunit ribosomal RNA", at positions 29 to 507 of the family's 1533-position model. The record is from RNAcentral.